This is a long non-coding RNA of Culex quinquefasciatus (southern house mosquito), 2524 nucleotides long. RefSeq lists it as uncharacterized. The transcript is spliced from 2 exons. The record is from RefSeq and is a predicted model, not a curated record. Lineage: Eukaryota; Metazoa; Arthropoda; Insecta; Diptera; Culicidae.
AAUCUAUAUUCUUUAUGUGUGGCAGUGCGUGGCUGAAUGGUUACGCUGUCCGCUUUGUAAGCGGAUGAUCAUGGGUUUGAUUUCCAUCUGCUCCAAUCAAACAUGGUAUUUUCUCGGCCGAUGGCGAGAGCUUAUCGAUAUCGUCCCUCGCUCACAUCAUCCAAUUUUCGGCGUUCUCUCAAAACCAAGAGAGCGAAGGAAAAAUGACGCCGAUGAAGAAGCGAGAAACGAAUACACCGAUGCGGUUGACAGAAAAAAAUCUCUCGUGGAGCAGGCUCUCUCGCUCAAAAAGCAAGAGAGAGAGAGAGCAAUAGUGAUAAGCUCUCGCCCGUAGGCCCCUGCAGAAAUAAUGCAUUUGUGUGCGUGAGACCAACGUGUACGUACCCGACCAGUUCGUGUGGAGAUAUUUCCAGAAUGUUGGAACCACUACUAACACAGUAAAAAAAAAUCAUGGUAAUAUUACAUCUGGGAAGGGGUACAUCGUUUAUGUCAGAGAAAAUGUGUGAUUUUAUUUCUAAAAAUGUCUCAUUUGAUCACAUUACUGGUUUAAUGCAUCUUUUUCAGUCUAAAUUGAGGUAAAAUUACAACAUUAAAGAGGUAAUAUUAACAUUGAAUAUUUUUAUUUUUUGAAGCUAAAAUAUAAAAUUGCUAAGUUAAAAAGUUGAAUUGUUCAUCUUUUAAAUUUCACUCGACCACUUUUCUAGCUGCUAAAAAUAAGAAAGUUACAAAAAAUGCCGAAAUUCAUACCCACUGUUGUCAUGUCAUAUCGUUUCAUAAAAGAAUAAAAAAUGCAAAAAAGUUUAUUGCAAAACCCAACAAAGUUCUACUGAUAUAUAGCUGAAAUUUAUAAAUUUAAGGUUUAUCAAAAAAAAAAAACAGAAAGAUUUUAACCCAAAAACAAAACUUUUCUUAAAUCAAGCGAAACGCGCUACGCGAAUUCGGAUUGAUUCGGAUUUCUGGAAGCAUACUUUUUGUGUCUUGCGCCAAAAUAAGAAUGACGAAGACGCGCGCAACCGCCCGAGGAGACCAGCAAAAAAGGAUAAUAACCAAAACCGAUUGUGUAUUAAUUCAACGUUUAUAUAUAAAUAUAAAAACAAAAACUUACAAGAUAACAACUUUUGCCUUCACCGUUCAGAAAACAAGAAGAAAAAAAAACAAACAGUCUCUCUUAAUCGCGAAUGUGGCUUCAUUUGCGAAUGUUACACGAAAUUGAAGGGUAUAAAUUACAAUGAGAAGCAACAAUAAAUAGAACUAAUAACCGAUCAGAUCACCAAGCUCUUUACACAAAGCAGUUCACUCACAUUGGGCAAUGCAGUGUUCGUAGAAUUAGUCCAGGGAACGCGCGUCACUCAAGUGGAAUGCAAUCUCAUCCCGUCAUUACAUCUGAAGUUGAAGAAAUCGCGAAAUUCGUCAAGUAUUUUUAUUACUCUUUUCAAUCGCAAAUUAUAUACAUAUAAAGCUAUAUAUAUAUAUUUAUACCGGUCAGGACGCGUUUAAUCGUGAUGUUCUGAAAUGUAAAUGCAUGACUUGUUAAAUUAAAAACAAAUAACAAAUUCAACUAACACUUAUUGUGAUUACUACUGUAAAUGUUACAGCUCGAUGUACAUAUUGGCUAAGAAUCAUAAAACAAACUAUAUUUAACAUCAAAAAAAAAAACUCAGAACUGGAAUUGUUUCUCAAAAGCUUGCUCGCGUUUAGAGAAAGAUCAAGAGAGUUGUAACAAACCAAAACAUGGUUUAUAUUUAUGAAGGAAGGUGUAGCUUUUUUUUCUCUCUCUCCCCGUGGGAAUCAACAGUUGUGUAUAGAAAGAAGCAAAAUAGUGUAUUUUGCGGUAAUUAGCUGCAAAAAGGUGGGAUAAAGUUCAAUUUGAUAGCUUUAAUAAAACGGUGAAGACAAGUGCUAGUAAGAAGAAAGAGUCAAACAAAGAUGCCUUCUUGAUUUAAUCACACAAACACACACACACACAAACACACAUAGAUCCAAACACAAACACACUCGUUGCUGGAGAUGCUCCAGAAAUAUUUUAAGUUUGCAAUCACGAUGAAUAAUCGAAAAACAAAAAGAAAAAAAAAGUCAACGGUUACCAUCAAUCCUGCAAAGAUGCUUACAACAGCGUUAUCUUAUGUUUAACAUGUAGGUCAUAAUUUUAAGCAAGAACCAAUUCUAGUGAUAACCAUUAAGUAUUUUGUUUUAAAGUUAUUCGUUUCCGUUACGACAAUUGCCAAUAUUUUUAAUAUGUAGCGAAGAGGCAUAAAUUCCAAGUUGCGUGCAAUUGAUUCAUUAUUUUGUUUUAAUUAUUCGAUAGAUGUUUAUAACUUUUUUAUGUUUUAAAAUUCAGUAGAAAGGACAAGCAAGUCUUAAAAGAUGACCACACGGAGAAGAUAUAAUCAAAAUAGAAUAAUCCAAAUCUAAUCUUGCAUUCCUAUCAAAUGAAACAGUUUAUAAGGUACGAUUGCGGGUGGGAGAAGCGGCCGACGAGACCGAGGGAAAGACGAAUGAAAUAAAAAAAAAUGAAAAUAACGUA